CCUACGGGAGGCAGCAGUGAGGAAUAUUGGUCAAUGGACGAGAGUCUGAACCAGCCAAGUAGCGUGAAGGAUGACUGCCCUAUGGGUUGUAAACUUCUUUUAUAUGGGAAUAAAACGUUCCACGUGUGGGAUUUUGUAUGUACCAUAUGAAUAAGGAUCGGCUAACUCCGUGCCAGCAGCCGCGGUAAUACGGAGGAUCCGAGCGUUAUCCGGAGUUAUUGGGUUUAAAGGGAGCGUAGGUGGAUUGUUAAGUCAGUUGUGAAAGUUUGCGGCUCAACCGUAAAAUUGCAGUUGAAACUGGCAGUCUUGAGUACAGUAGAGGUGGGCGGAAUUCGUGGUGUAGCGGUGAAAUGCUUAGAUAUCACGAAGAACUCCGAUUGCGAAGGCAGUUCACUGGACUGCAACUGACACUGAGGCUCGAAAGUGUGGGUAUCAAACAGGAUUAGAUACCCUUGUAGUC
RNAcentral lists this ribosomal RNA (460 nucleotides) under uncultured bacterium. RNAcentral's name for it is "partial 16S ribosomal RNA". It matches the Rfam family "Bacterial small subunit ribosomal RNA", at positions 338 to 795 of the family's 1533-position model. The record is from RNAcentral.